CAGAGUUGCAAAACUCCCACAAACCAUCGCGAAUCUUACCCGUACGGUUGCCUCGGCGCUGGCGGCCCGGAAGGCCCUCGGGCCCCCCGGAUCCUCGGGUCUCCCGCUCGCGGGAGGCUGCCCGCCGGAGUGCCGAAACCAAACUCUUGAUAUUUUAUGUCUCUCUGAGUAAACUUUUAAAUAAGUCA
Molecule: unclassified non-coding RNA, 188 nt
Filed under: soil metagenome
Description: partial internal transcribed spacer 1
Source: RNAcentral